Molecule: ribosomal RNA, 110 nt
Organism: Erinaceus europaeus (western European hedgehog)
Lineage: Eukaryota; Metazoa; Chordata; Mammalia; Eulipotyphla; Erinaceidae
Source: Ensembl
GUCUAUGGCCAUAUCACCCUGAACAUGCCGGAUCUCUUCUGAUCUCGGAAGCUAAGCAGGGUCGGGCUAGGUUAAUAAUUGGAUGGGAGAAUAUUUAAGUAUUAUGAAUC